This 447-nucleotide ribosomal RNA is filed under the name uncultured Arcobacter sp. RNAcentral's name for it is "bacterial SSU rRNA". It matches the Rfam family "Bacterial small subunit ribosomal RNA", at positions 936 to 1382 of the family's 1533-position model. The record is from RNAcentral. Lineage: Bacteria; Pseudomonadati; Campylobacterota; Epsilonproteobacteria; Campylobacterales; Arcobacteraceae.
AGCAUGUGGUUUAAUUCGAAGAUACGCGAAGAACCUUAACCUGGCCUUGACAUUGAUAGAAUCUGGUAGAGAUACUGGAGUGCUAGCUUGCUAGAACUUGAAAACAGGUGCUGCACGGCUGUCGUCAGCUCGUGUCGUGAGAUGUGGGUUAAGUCCCGCAACGAGCGCAACCUCGUCGUAGUUGCUAACAGUUAGGCUGAGAACUCUAACGAGACUGCCUUCGUAAGGAGGAGGAAGGUGAGGACGACGUCAAGUCAUCAUGGCCCUUACGGCCAGGGCUACACACGUGCUACAAUGGGGUGUACAGAAAGCUGCAAUAUCGCGAGAUGGAGCAAAUCUCAAAAACACCUCCCAGUUCGGAUUGUUCUCUGCAACUCGAGAACAUGAAGUUGGAAUCGCUAGUAAUCGUAGAUCAGCAUUGCUACGGUGAAUACGUUCCCGGGCCUU